CGCGUGAGUGAGUGAGUGCGUGAGUGAGUGCGAGCGCGCGCGCGCGCGCUUUGUCGUUUCCUGUGCAGGCUCUUUAUCCAGACACGGAGCAUGGCGGCCACUGAGAUAGCCCGACAAGCAGGAGAGGGAGCUCGCGCAGUGCCACUCUCUGGCCAUGUUGGCUUUGACAGCAUGCCAGACCAGCUGGUCAACAAGUCUGUUAACCAAGGCUUCUGCUUCAACAUCCUCUGCAUUGGGGAGACAGGGUUGGGAAAGUCCACUCUCAUGGACACCCUGUUCAACACCAAGUUUGAGGGUGAACCAACUCAGCACAACCAGCCUGGAGUGCAGCUCAAGUCCAACACGUAUGAACUGCAGGAGAGCAAUGUGCGCCUUAAGCUCACCAUUGUUAACACGGUUGGCUUCGGAGACCAGAUCAACAAAGAGGAAAGCUACAAACCAAUUGUGGAGUUCAUCGACACUCAGUUUGAGGCCUACCUUCAAGAAGAGCUGAAGAUCAAGAGAACCCUUCACAGUUAUCAUGACACGCGUAUUCAUUCCUGUUUGUACUUCAUUGCACCCACUGGACACUCAUUAAAAUCUCUGGAUCUGGUGACCAUGAAGAAGCUGGACAGUAAGGUGAAUAUUAUCCCCAUCAUUGCCAAGUCAGAUGCCAUCUCAAAGAGUGAACUGGCCAAGUUCAAGAUUAAGAUUACCAGUGAGCUUGUCAGCAACGGAGUGCAGAUUUACCAGUUCCCUAUUGAUGAUGAAACCGUGGCAGAGAUCAACUCCACCAUGAAUGGCCAUUUGCCGUUUGCAGUAGUGGGAAGUACAGAGGAAGUGAAGAUCGGGAACAAGAUGGUGAAAGCACGGCAGUACCCAUGGGGAACUGUUCAGGUGGAAAAUGAGAACCACUGUGACUUUGUGAAACUGAGAGAGAUGCUGAUCCGAGUGAACAUGGAGGAUCUGAGGGAGCAGACCCACACACGCCACUACGAGCUCUAUCGCCGAUGCAAACUGGAGGAGAUGGGCUUUAAAGACACAGAUCCUGAUAGUAAACCUUUCAGCCUGCAGGAGACUUAUGAGGCCAAGAGGAAUGAGUUCAUGGGUGAGCUGCAGAAGAAGGAAGAAGAAAUGAGGCAGAUGUUUGUUCAGAGAGUGAAAGAGAAAGAGGCUGAGCUGAAGGAAGCAGAAAAGGAGCUGCAUGAAAAGUUUGACCGUCUGAAGAAGCUGCACCAGGAUGAGAAGAAGAAGCUGGAAGAUAAAAAGAAGGCUCUUGAUGACGAGCUGAACCUCUUCAAGCAGAAGAAAACGGCAGCUGAACUCCUGCAGUCCCAGGCCCAGCAAGCAGGCAGUUCCACCACACUCAAAAGGGACAAAGAGAGAAAAAACUGAUUUGACCACUUCAACAGACCAUUAUAACGGAGGAAGGCACUCACACUGAGAAGCUUCUUUUAAAUCUCUCGUGGCCACCUGUCAGAAGAGGGGAUCACAGCUUCCUCAAGAACUAAGCACCCGUUUCCUCUUCCUGUCUUUCACUCUGUUAGCCUUUUUUCUUCUGGAACCUCUGUUGUCUGCUCAGUUGAACAUGGUCAUAUGUGGGCUUUACAUGGUAUUUUCUCCCAGAAGUAUUUGCUCUUUUCUAUUUAGGCACAUUAAACAGUCCCACACUAAUAUUUUUAUAGACUUUGUGAAGAUACUGGAACCAAAGUUCUGGUAGUAAAAAAAGAGCAUGAAGUGAAAAAGAAAUUAUUGUAAAAACAUCAGUUUUUAUCAAUUUUAACAUAUUGCUUUUGCAACAUAGCUUUCAUUUAAGCCCCCAUCUUUUGCAUUUACACAUCAGUUUUUAUUGUGAAGAUGUGUUUUUGUUGACUCUGACUGUGAGAUAGAAAAACCCAAAGAAAAAUUGCAUUAUACUGUUUAAUUAUAUAGAUUCUUUAUCAUAAAUCCAUGGAAUAAAUCUAAAGUUGCUCAUAGUGCACAGUUAUUUAAGUCAGGCUGAUUUUAAGUUUGCGUUCCGGUGAUACAACACUAAUUUUUCACCGUCCUCUAAUUUGUUGAAUUUUAAAAGAUUUAUGGUUUAAAACAGCCCUUCUGAAUACCAUGUAGGUCACAUUCAGAGCCCCCUUUUUCAUUUCAUGCUUUGCCUUAUCUAAUCAGCCUUUGCAUGGUUAUGCUUCUGCAGUGUAAAUGUUUUCUGUUUGCUUUUUUUCCUCAUUGGCAGUUAUUACAGGUUCAUUCUCAGUCAGAUAUUGCUGCAGAUUUCUACUAAAAACCAUGUUCUGGAAAUGCUACACAUUUACGUAUAUAGUUUUGGCAGUUUAAUAUUCACAAUGGCAGUCACAGAUAUCUGUGCAUAUUUAUAUAUAAUUUAUAAGGAUCUAUUUUGUGUAUUGAAGUAGAACUGUGCUGAUGAUCAGUCACACUGUUGGUAGGUGGUCAUUCUGGUUGUCAGACUCCCAUCGUUAUUGUAGCAUCUUUCAUCAGUUACUCUCCAGCGCCUGUCCUAUCCCAAAGUUGUGAAAUAUUUCAUUGUGCUAAAAUUGCAUCUGUUUACAUUUUCAAUAAAAAAAAAAACCUCAAAA
Tachysurus vachellii is the source of this 2564-nucleotide RNA transcript. It is a transcript of the gene named septin 6, with no coding region annotated. The record is from RefSeq and is a predicted model, not a curated record. The transcript is spliced from 11 exons. NCBI's taxonomy places the organism in Eukaryota, Metazoa, Chordata, Actinopteri, Siluriformes, Bagridae.